CUACGGGUGGCUGCAGGCGCGAAACCUUCGCAAUGCGCGAAAGCGUGACGAGGGAACCCCAAGUGUGGGCCGACAAGGUCUACUUUUCCCAAGUAUAAAAAGCUUGGGGAAUAAGGGCUGGGCAAGACUGGUGCCAGCCUCCGCGGUAACACCAGCAGCUCGAGUGGUAGUCGUUUUUAUUGGGCUUAGAGCGUCCGUAGUCUGCUUGGCAAGUCCCCUGUGAAAUCCAUCGGCUUAACCGAUGGGCUUGCAGAGGAUACUACCAGGCUAGGAGCCGGGACGGGUUGGAGGUAUUCCUGAGGUAGCGGUGAAAUGCUAUAAUCUUAGGAAGACCACCGGUGGCGAAGGCGUCCAACUGGAACGGGCUCGACGAUGAGGGACGAAAGCUAGGGGAGCGAAUCGGAUUAGAUACCCGAGUAGUC
RNAcentral lists this ribosomal RNA (422 nucleotides) under uncultured archaeon. RNAcentral describes it as "partial 16S ribosomal RNA". It matches the Rfam family "Archaeal small subunit ribosomal RNA", at positions 323 to 746 of the family's 1478-position model. The record is from RNAcentral.